This 752-nucleotide long non-coding RNA is filed under the name Anas platyrhynchos platyrhynchos (common mallard). RNAcentral's name for it is "lncRNA (ENSAPLG00000017243.1)". Lineage: Eukaryota; Metazoa; Chordata; Aves; Anseriformes; Anatidae. The record is from RNAcentral.
UCUGGUAUUUUUUUGGUUAUUUCUAAUGGUCAGCUUAUUUAAGUGCAUUAAUCUCUGUCUGAAUGUAUGUUGUUUAUAUUUCAGUCCACACCAACAACCAAAGAAGAACCUGGAAAAAAUGCUCAGUCAUCCAAGGUACGUACUUAACUUACAGCUUUGGUGAUCUUUUGCACUUUGUUCUUUGACCAACUUUGAAGUGAUAGGUUAAAGUCUUUGCUUCUACUGUGCUGCAUAAGGCUGCUGCAUGAGUAGUAACAUAUCCAUGCGCAAAAAAGCUAUGAGCCAACAGCCAACAAACUCUCAAAAUAACCAGCCAUCUGAAGAGAGACAAAAAGAAUCCAGUGGUGCAAAAGGACAAAUUGCACCUUCUGCUUCUAAACCAACUAAUACAGGAAAGGUAGCUACAAGUCAAGCUGAGCAGCCUCCACAAACAACCUCCAGAGAGCCAGCACAGGUAUAGUAAAAGUAGCAAUCCAAUUUUUAUUAUUUAUGUUACUGUAAAGGUUAGAAAUGCACAUCAAGAUGCACAUCUUAUGCUGAAUAUUGUCAAGCAAGACUGAACCCCCAAAAGUCAAAAUGUAGAAGAACUGAGAACCUGUCUUGUAUUUGAAAGUGCACAUAACAAACCUCUUCUUGUGCUGGUCUAAAACCUGGAAUUUCUGAAACUUUAAAUUCUACACACAAAUUAACACCCUGAAUAUACUGAAUCCAGCUAACACGUGGUAGUGGUAAUUGAUAAGGAUUGGCUGCAA